Molecule: ribosomal RNA, 439 nt
Filed under: uncultured Nonomuraea sp.
Lineage: Bacteria; Bacillati; Actinomycetota; Actinomycetes; Streptosporangiales; Streptosporangiaceae
Description: bacterial SSU rRNA
Rfam family: Bacterial small subunit ribosomal RNA
Source: RNAcentral
CCUACGGGGGGCAGCAGUAGGGAAUCUUCCGCAAUGGACGAAAGUCUGACGGAGCAACGCCGCGUGAGUGAUGAAGGCUUUCGGGUCGUAAAGCUCUGUUGCCAGGGAAGAACGCUUGGGAGAGUAACUGCUCUCAAGGUGACGGUACCUGAGAAGAAAGCCCCGGCUAACUACGUGCCAGCAGCCGCGGUAAUACGUAGGGGGCAAGCGUUGUCCGGAAUUAUUGGGCGUAAAGCGCGCGCAGGCGGCUUUGUAAGUCUGUCGUUUAAGUUCGGGGCUCAACCCCGUAUCGCGAUGGAAACUGCAAGGCUUGAGUGCAGAAGAGGAAAGUGGAAUUCCACGUGUAGCGGUGAAAUGCGUAGAGAUGUGGAGGAACACCAGUGGCGAAGGCGACUUUCUGGGCUGUAACUGACGCUGAGGCGCGAAAGCGUGGGGAGCA